AGUGAACGCUGGCGGCGUGCCUAAUACAUGCAAGUCGAACGGAGAUUAAGUAGCUUGCUAUUUAUUCUUAGUGGCGCACGGGUGAGUAAUAUAUAGCUAACUUGCCCUUUACUAAGGGACAACAGUUGGAAACGACUGCUAAUACCUUAUACUCCGUAUCUAUAUAAGUAGAUACGGGAAAGUUUUUCGGUAAUGGAUAGGGCUAUAUCGUAUCAGCUAGUUGGUAAGGUCAUGGCUUACCAAGGCUAUGACGCGUAACUGGUCUGAGAGGAUGAUCAGUCACACUGGAACGGAGACACGGUCCAGACACCUACGGGAGGCAGCAGUAGGGAAUAUUGCUCAAUGGGGGAAACCCAGAAGCAGCAACGCCGCGUGGAGGAUGACACUUUGCGGAGCGUAAACUCCUUUUCUUGGGAAAGAAUUAUGACGGUACCCAAGGAAUAAGCACCGGCUAACUCCGUG
RNAcentral lists this ribosomal RNA (462 nucleotides) under uncultured bacterium. Its description in RNAcentral is "partial 16S ribosomal RNA". It matches the Rfam family "Bacterial small subunit ribosomal RNA", at positions 29 to 507 of the family's 1533-position model. The record is from RNAcentral.